ACGGAGGGUGCGAGCGUUAAUCGGAAUUACUGGGCGUAAAGCGCGCGUAGGCGGUUUGAUUAGUCGGGUGUGAAAGCCCCGGGCUUAACCUGGGAAAUGCAUUCGAUACUGUCAGGCCCGAGUCUAGGAGAGGGUAGCGGAAUUCCGGGUGUAGCGGUGAAAUGCGUAGAUAUCCGGAGGAACAUCAGUGGCGAAGGCGGCUUCAUGGCCUAAGACUGACGCUGAGGUGCGAAAGCGUGGGGAGCAAACAGGA
RNAcentral lists this ribosomal RNA (253 nucleotides) under uncultured prokaryote. Its description in RNAcentral is "partial 16S ribosomal RNA". It matches the Rfam family "Bacterial small subunit ribosomal RNA", at positions 525 to 777 of the family's 1533-position model. The record is from RNAcentral.